Molecule: ribosomal RNA, 208 nt
Filed under: uncultured soil bacterium
Lineage: Bacteria
Description: partial 16S ribosomal RNA
Rfam family: Bacterial small subunit ribosomal RNA
Source: RNAcentral
AGGACGAACGCUGGCGGCGUGCUUAACACAUGCAAGUCGAGCGGUAAGGCCUUUCGGGGUACACGAGCGGCGAACGGGUGAGUAACACGUGGGUGAUCUGCCCUGCACUCUGGGAUAAGCCUGGGAAACUGGGUCUAAUACCGGAUAUGACCUGCUCUCGCAUGGGGGGUGGGUGGAAAGAUUUUAUCGGUGCAGGAUGGGCCCGCGG